This 191-nucleotide ribosomal RNA is filed under the name uncultured Anoxybacillus sp. RNAcentral describes it as "partial 16S ribosomal RNA". It matches the Rfam family "Bacterial small subunit ribosomal RNA", at positions 1191 to 1382 of the family's 1533-position model. The record is from RNAcentral. Lineage: Bacteria; Bacillati; Bacillota; Bacilli; Caryophanales; Anoxybacillaceae.
CAUCAUGCCCUUAUGACCUGGGCUACACACGUGCUACAAUGGGCGGUACAAAGGGUCGCGAACCCGCGAGGGGGAGCCAAUCCCAAAAAGCCGCUCUCAGUUCGGAUUGCAGGCUGCAACUCGCCUGCAUGAAGCCGGAAUCGCUAGUAAUCGCGGAUCAGCAUGCCGCGGUGAAUACGUUCCCGGGCCUU